This 253-nucleotide ribosomal RNA is filed under the name uncultured bacterium. RNAcentral's name for it is "partial 16S ribosomal RNA". It matches the Rfam family "Bacterial small subunit ribosomal RNA", at positions 524 to 776 of the family's 1533-position model. The record is from RNAcentral.
UACGGGGGGAGCAAGCGUUGUUCGGAUUCAUUGGGCGUAAAGGGUGUGUAGGUGGCGCGCUAAGUCGGGUGUGAAAUUUCGGAGCUUAACUCCGAAACUGCAUUCGAUACUGGCGUGCUUGAGGACUGGAGAGGAGACUGGAAUUUACGGUGUAGCAGUGAAAUGCGUAGAUAUCGUAAGGAAGACCAGUGGCGAAGGCGGGUCUCUGGACAGUUCCUGACACUGAGACACGAAGGUCAGGGGAGCAAACGGG